This 484-nucleotide ribosomal RNA is filed under the name uncultured bacterium. Its description in RNAcentral is "partial 16S ribosomal RNA". It matches the Rfam family "Bacterial small subunit ribosomal RNA", at positions 30 to 507 of the family's 1533-position model. The record is from RNAcentral.
AUUGAACGCUGGCGGCAGGCCUAACACAUGCAAGUCGAGCGGAUGAAGGGAGCUUGCUCCUGGAUUCAGCGGCGGACGGGUGAGUAAUGCCUAGGAAUCUGCCUGGUAGUGGGGGAUAACGUCCGGAAACGGGCGCUAAUACCGCAUACGUCCUGAGGGAGAAAGUGGGGGAUCUUCGGAUCUCACGCUAUCAGAUGAUCCUAGGUCGGAUUAGCUAGUUGGUGGGGUAAAGGCCUACCAAGGCGACGAUCCGUAACUGGUCUGAGAGGAUGAUCAGUCACACUGGAACUGAGACACGGUCCAGACUCCUACGGGAGGCAGCAGUGGGGAAUAUUGGACAAUGGGCGAAAGCCUGAUCCAGCCAUGCCGCGUGUGUGAAGAAGGUCUUCGGAUUGUAAAGCACUUUAAGUUGGGAGGAAGGGCAGUAAGUUAAUACCUUGCUGUUUUGACGUUACCAACAGAAUAAGCACCGGCUAACUUCGUG